GGAAGAUAAAAGGCAUCUUUUAUCUUUUAAAAGACCUAGUAAUAGGUAUGCUUUAGGAGGGGCUUGCGCCAUAUUAGUUAGUUGGUAGGGUAAUGGCCUACCAAGACGAUGAUGUGUAGCUGGACUGAGAGGUUGAACAGCCACAUUGGGACUGAGACACGGCCCAAACUCCUACGGGAGGCAGCAGUAGGGAAUUUUCGGCAAUGGAGGAAACUCUGACCGAGCAACGCCGCGUGAAUGACGAAGUACUUCGGUAUGUAAAGUUCUUUUAUCAAGGAAGAAAAGCAAAUGGCGAACCAUUUGUUUGCCGGUACUUGAUGAAUAAGCCCCGGCUAAUUAUGUGCCAGCAGCCGCGGUAAGACAUAAGGGGCAAGUGUUAUCCGGAAUUAUUGGGCGUAAAGGGUGCGUAGGCGGUCUAGUAAGUCAGUGGUGUAAUGGCAACGCUUAACGUUGUCCGGCUAUUGAAACUGCUAAACUUGAGUUAGAUAGAGGCGAGUGGAAUUCCAUGUGUAGCGGUAAAAUGCGUAAAUAUAUGGAGGAACACCAGAGGCGUAGGCGGCUCGCUGGGUCUUAACUGACGCUGAGGCACGAAAGCGUGGGGAGCAAACAGGAUUAGAUACCCUGGUAGUCCACGCCGUAAACGAUGAGUACUAAGUGUCGGGUUAAACCGGUACUGAAGUUAACACAUUAAGUACUCCGCCUGAGUAGUACGUACGCAAGUAUGAAACUUAAAGGAAUUGACGGGACUCCGCACAAGCGGUGGAUCAUGUUGUUUAAUUCGAAGAUACCCGAAAAACCUUACCAGGUCUUGACAUGUUUUUGCAAAAUGAUAGUAAUAUCGUGGAGGUUACCAGAAACACAGGUGGUGCAUGGUUGUCGUCAGCUCGUGUCGUGAGAUGUUAGGUUAAGUCCUAAAACGAGCGAAACCCUUAUCGUUAGUUGCCAGCACGUUAUGGUGGGGACUUUAACGAGACUGCCAAUGAUAAAUUGGAGGAAGGUGAGGAUCACGUCAAAUCAGCAUGCCCCUUAUGACCUGGGCUACAAACGUGAUACAAUGGCUGUUACAAAGGGUAGCUGAACGCAAGUUCUUGGCCAAUCCCCAAAAACAGUCCCAGUCCGGAUUGAAGUCUGCAACUCGACUUCAUGAA
RNAcentral lists this ribosomal RNA (1148 nucleotides) under Sesame phyllody phytoplasma. RNAcentral describes it as "bacterial SSU rRNA". It matches the Rfam family "Bacterial small subunit ribosomal RNA", at positions 173 to 1324 of the family's 1533-position model. Lineage: Bacteria; Bacillati; Mycoplasmatota; Mollicutes; Acholeplasmatales; Acholeplasmataceae. The record is from RNAcentral.